Molecule: long non-coding RNA, 791 nt
Organism: Homo sapiens (human)
Lineage: Eukaryota; Metazoa; Chordata; Mammalia; Primates; Hominidae
Product: long intergenic non-protein coding RNA 1580
Source: Ensembl
GGGCGGGCCUGGAAAAAGAACCAUUAGUGCUCACUCCAGGCCACAGACUCCGACCGGAACUGACAGCGCGGCCUCCAGGAUUGAAGCCAUCCCUGGCUUGAAGCCUAAGGAGAUUUGCUAGUUUGAGUCCUGGGAGAUGAGAUGGGGAAGAUGGGCCCAAGCUGCAACAUGAAGGUCCAUGAUGAACAGUUGGCAUCUCCUACAGUGCCUGCCACUUGGUAAUGUUCAAUGCAGCCAAGGGAGCUAAGGUAAUGAACAAAACAGAGAAGUUCCUACCCUCCCUGAUGUUCAUUCUAGCAAAUGGAGACAGAUGAUAGAAACUGCACAUCAUUGAGCAAGAGGGACACCAUGGAUAAUGGAAAGAUCUACGGCAAGGCUGGCUGUCUGCCCUGUCUAAGGAGGACGUACUGGACCAUCCUGCUCUGCACAUCCAGAUGUGUCCAUGAAUACAUCCAUAAAACGAUGGCCUGUGGAAUCCUAUAGGAAAAUGAUCCAGAGCCUGGGCGGUCAGAAGGAACAAACACUUGAUUUACAAAAUAAAUCUUCUAUGUUUAUGUUUUAAAGACACACAGAGGAAAAACAUUUUUAAAUUCAUGAUUUCCCCCCCCAGAUUUUAACUAUUGUAAUCUCUUUCUUUCCUGAGCCUUAGGCAUCUUCAUUAUAAACCAAAAGAUAUAACUUGAGAUUUUCCCAGGGUUUAUAUACUCGUUAGAGUUGGAAACAUGAAAAUGGCAAUUUGGGAUGUCUCUUUGGAGUCAAAAACCUUAUAAAAAUAUAAUGUACUUUCUCUC